RNAcentral lists this ribosomal RNA (292 nucleotides) under Parasporobacterium paucivorans DSM 15970. RNAcentral describes it as "23S rRNA. Bacterial LSU". It matches the Rfam family "Bacterial large subunit ribosomal RNA", at positions 2633 to 2925 of the family's 2925-position model. Lineage: Bacteria; Bacillati; Bacillota; Clostridia; Lachnospirales; Lachnospiraceae. The record is from RNAcentral.
GGUCCCUAUCCGGCGUGGGCGCAGGAUAUUUGAGAGGAGCUAUCCCUAGUACGAGAGGACCGGGAUGGACUGACCUCUGGUGCAUCUGCUGUCUUGCCAAAGGCAUGGCAGAGUAGCCAAGUCGGGACGGGAUAAACGCUGAAGGCAUCUAAGCGUGAAGCCCCCCUCAAGAUGAGAUAUCCCAUGGCACAAGCCAGUAAGACCCCUUGAAGACGACGAGGUUGAUAGGUCAGGGGUGUAAGUACAGCAAUGUAUUCAGCUGACUGAUACUAAUAGGUCGAGGGCUUGACCA